AACCAUUAAGGUUUGAUUCACAAAUAAUCCUAGGAUAUAGGUCAAAAAGAAGUGAACAAGAUUUGGUGGCUAAAACCAUUAAAGCUUGAUUCAUGGAAGCAUGUCCAAUCUUGGUCAAUGUUCUUGCAAUAAAGCAGACUUUGACUGAGAGAGAAAUUAGUAGAGAGAGAGGAAAGAAACUUUUAUUUACAUCUAGGUUUAAAUACUUGUUUGAGCAUCCUUGUAUCCUGUGAUCGAUACCCCCAAGGCAAAGCCUACACUUUUAUUUAUGCAAGAAUUGAGGUUGGUAAAGGAGAUUGUCAGACAGGAUUUGCUAAGUUGUUGACCGGGAGAAUUUGGUUGCUAGACUAGGAUAUGGCAUAGUGUGCUUCUGAGACUAGUAUUUCCUAAGGUGAUGAUUAUGAGUUUUAAAUCUGUAAGCCCCUGCUAUUUUCAAACCUAUUUCAGAGAGACUGCCUGUAUUUUUUGAUUGAGGACAAGCAAAAGGGUAAGUCUGAGGGAGUUUAUAGGCCAUGGAUUAUACCCACUUUUAGCCAUGGUUUAUAAGUGUUUUAAUAACUAAUUAUUAUGUUUUAGAGUCUAUUUAGUAUAUUUAUAGGAUCAGGAGUGAUUUGGAAGAAAAUGAUGAUUUUGGAGCAUUUUGGAGAUAAUUGAAGAAAACAUCCGAGCUGACCAUCGAGCAAGACCAAUGGCCGACAUUCAGAGACAAUAAUCGAUCGAUGCACAUCCCGUGACAUCGAUCGACGGCGAAGUGCGCAGAAGCCCGUUUGGUUCCAGCCGACUUAGAGCCCAAGACUUCACCAAUUUACAAGAUUACCCCUUACGAGUUUUAACCUAAUAUUUAUAGUUUGCCAACAUGUUAGAGGCAAAGGGUGCUUUCUUGUUUUUUUAUUUUCACAGCAAA
Molecule: long non-coding RNA, 904 nt
Filed under: Brassica napus (rape)
Lineage: Eukaryota; Viridiplantae; Streptophyta; Magnoliopsida; Brassicales; Brassicaceae
Description: long non-coding RNA (BNAP_LNC021318)
Source: RNAcentral